UUUUUUUUUUUUUUUGUCAACUGUUUCAAAUACUGCCAAAUCGUGGUUUCUUGUUUGAGCUUGUUGAGUGUGUAACUGAGUUGCCUUUUUGGUAUGAAGACAGUUUUCACCAACAUGGCAACAAGAGGAAGUCUAAAAUUCUCCACGCUGCCUCCCACCCAAUCUGUGAGCUGGCAAAACCAGAAUAGAUACAGUCACCACGAAGUGGGCAUCAUCAUCCACUAACUCUCUCCUCUCCGCUCCCGGGGCACACCACAUGAGGCAGAGGUUCUUGAGCCCAUUUGACGGAUGAGGAAACUAAGGCUCAGAAAGGUGAGGUCUUCUGCCUGAGGUCACAGUCACAGGCAGAGCAAGGAUGUCAAUCCACGUCUGUUGGACAUCAAAAGGUGGUGUUUCACCUGACCACUACAGCACUUUCUAGAUCCCAUGCCUUCAUAGUUUCCUGAAGCAAAGUCCCCUUAAGAACCAAGAAGUCUGCCAUCAUUUGUGAUCAUCCUGCGGCUUUUCAUUCCCUGCUUAGUCGGAUCCAUAUCCGCCAGCUGUUUGAAGGUUCGGCCGCUUUAGGGGGCAUCUUGCUUGCUUUUCCAUCCCUUUUUUCGGGGUCCUUUGAGACAAGUUACAAUAUGGAUUUGGGUUCACAUUGUGGCCUCAACUUGAUAGCUGUGUGGCUUCUGAGCCUCAGUUUUCUCAUCUGUACCUGGGGGGUGAUGGUGCCCACUUCCUCGGGGGAGGGACCACGUGACACCAGGGCUGGCUUGCCAUCACUGUUAGAAGCCUGCCUCCCUGCUCCAUGGUGUCCAUGUCACCCUGAUUGGGAGUGUGCCGAGGUCACAUGUGGAGGGAUUUCACGAAAAACUUGUUUUUCUGCAUGUGGGUUUAGUCACUCUUGUGACUCAAGGGGGCCCCCUCCCUUGGAUCCAGCCUUUUGGGUUCGUCAGAUGACAUGGGGCGAUGGGUUGAACUGAAGCCUGAGUUAUCUACAGGAACAGAGCAGAUUUAAUGCCAUGAUGGCAGGGGACCUGAACCCACCAGAAACUGCGAGUGCCUCCCCCCUCCUGUUCUCAAAACACAUCCACCCCACCACUGUGGAAGAGUGUGGAGGCACCUAUUGGCAUAGGCCUAGACUCUCAUCCCAUUUGGUACCCUCCUCUCAGAACCUGGCCCAGCCAUCCUGGAGGGAAAGCAUGAGAAGGGAAGGUGGACAGUCCUGAGCUCUGCUGUGUGACCUUAGGCUGCUCAGUUUCUCUCUCUGAGCUCCAGCUUCUGUAAUCUGCAAGCUGUAAAUACUGCUGCUUCCCCCUAGGACCGAAUUUCUCACCUCAACCCUGUUGCCACGUUGAGCCAGAUCAUUCUUGUUGCCAAGGGCUGUCCUGAGCACUGUAGAAUGUUUAGAAUCCUCUCUGGCUUCUAUCCACUAGGUGCCAGUGGCAUCCCCCUCCCAAAUUGUGGCAACCAAAAAUGUCCCAGGACAUGUCUCCCAUGGUUCCCCCCCAGCCCCCUGCCCCAACCAUUGUGUUAGAAUAUACGUAUCAGUUAUGGAGAGUUCCAUUAGCCAUGCCCCGUAAUUUUCCACCCCCUCCUCCCCAUUUGCAGCUACCUUGCCUACCACCUGUUCAUCCCUCAGUUGCUUUGGAAGGAACAGGUCACAGGGACUGUAGAUGUCAUAGAGAAACUGCAUCUGACCUCAGGGCUGGGCCCCCUGUUGCACCUGAAAGGGCAGAUCUCCAUGAUCAGGGUGACAUCCUGUCUCUGCCCAGCCCCAGCCUCCUUCGCUUGUGGGCACAGACAUCAUCAGUGGGCCCAAGGGCAGAGCCACAGACAAGCAACGCAGCUGAUAUGACUCGGGUGGUCUGGAAUGAUUGCAUGUUGAGAAGCAUCCUCUAAACGGACUAGCCCGGAAUGCACCCCCUGAGAUUUAAAGCAGUUUUCCUGGAUGAUUUAUAUAUUCGGAUAUUCAGCGGUGUGGUAAUUAAAGCGAUGUCAAAAA
This is a long non-coding RNA of Felis catus (domestic cat), 1987 nucleotides long. RefSeq lists it as uncharacterized. The transcript is spliced from 2 exons. Lineage: Eukaryota; Metazoa; Chordata; Mammalia; Carnivora; Felidae. The record is from RefSeq and is a predicted model, not a curated record.